GACGAACGCUGGCGGCGUGCUUAACACAUGCAAGUCGAACGGAAAGGCCCUGCUUUUGUGGGGUGCUCGAGUGGCGAACGGGUGAGUAACACGUGAGUAACCUGCCCUUGACUUUGGGAUAACUUCAGGAAACUGGGGCUAAUACCGGAUAGGAGCUCCUGCUGCAUGGUGGGGGUUGGAAAGUUUCGGCGGUUGGGGAUGGACUCGCGGCUUAUCAGCUUGUUGGUGGGGUAGUGGCUUACCAAGGCUUUGACGGGUAGCCGGCCUGAGAGGGUGACCGGCCACAAUGGGACUGAGAUACGGCCCAGAAUGCUACGGGAGGCAGCAGUGGGGAAUAUUGCACAAUGGGCGGAAGCCUGAUGCAGCAACGCCGCGUGCGGGAUGACGGCCUUCGGGUUGUAAACCGAUUUCGCCUGUGACGAAGCGUGAGUGACGGUAAUGGGUAAAGAAGCACCGGCUAACUACGUG
Molecule: ribosomal RNA, 468 nt
Filed under: uncultured bacterium
Lineage: Bacteria
Description: partial 16S ribosomal RNA
Rfam family: Bacterial small subunit ribosomal RNA
Source: RNAcentral